Molecule: ribosomal RNA, 440 nt
Filed under: uncultured bacterium
Lineage: Bacteria
Description: partial 16S ribosomal RNA
Rfam family: Bacterial small subunit ribosomal RNA
Source: RNAcentral
CCUACGGGCGGCAGCAGUGGGGAAUAUUGCACAAUGGGGGAAACCCUGAUGCAGCGACGCCGCGUGAGUGAAGAAGUAUUUCGGUACGUAAAGCUCUAUCAGCAGGGAAGAAAAUGACGGUACCUGACUAAAAAGCCCCGGCUAACUACGUGCCAGCAGCCGCGGUAAUACGUAGGGGGCAAGCGUUAUCCGGAUUUACUGGGUGUAAAGGGAGCGUAGACGGCAGCGCAAGUCUGGAGUGAAAUCCCAUGGCUUAACCAUGGAACUGCUUUGGAAACUGUGCAGCUAGAGUGCAGGAGAGGUAAGCGGAAUUCCUAGUGUAGCGGUGAAAUGCGUAGAUAUUAGGAGGAACACCAGUGGCGAAGGCGGCUUACUGGACUGUAACUGACGUUGAGGCUCGAAAGCGUGGGGAGCAAACAGGAUUAGAUACCCCGGUAGUC